RNAcentral lists this ribosomal RNA (450 nucleotides) under uncultured bacterium. Its description in RNAcentral is "partial 16S ribosomal RNA". It matches the Rfam family "Bacterial small subunit ribosomal RNA", at positions 354 to 796 of the family's 1533-position model. The record is from RNAcentral.
GUGGGGAAUUUUGGACAAUGGGCGCAAGCCUGAUCCAGCCAUGCCGCGUGCAGGAUGAAGGCCUUCGGGUUGUAAACUGCUUUUGUACGGAACGAAACGGCUCUUUCUAAUAAAGAGGGCUAAUGACGGUACCGUAAGAAUAAGCACCGGCUAACUACGUGCCAGCAGCCGCGGUAAUACGUAGGGUGCGAGCGUUAAUCGGAAUUACUGGGCGUAAAGCGUGCGCAGGCGGUGAUGUAAGACAGAUGUGAAAUCCCCGGGCUCAACCUGGGAACUGCAUUUGUGACUGCAUCGCUGGAGUGCGGCAGAGGGGGAUGGAAUUCCGCGUGUAGCAGUGAAAUGCGUAGAUAUGCGGAGGAACACCGAUGGCGAAGGCAAUCCCCUGGGCCUGCACUGACGCUCAUGCACGAAAGCGUGGGGAGCAAACAGGAUUAGAUACCCUAGUAGUCC